RNAcentral lists this long non-coding RNA (247 nucleotides) under Chinchilla lanigera (long-tailed chinchilla). Its description in RNAcentral is "lncRNA (ENSCLAG00000026231.1)". Lineage: Eukaryota; Metazoa; Chordata; Mammalia; Rodentia; Chinchillidae. The record is from RNAcentral.
GAAAAGCUGGAACCCAGCUGCCCACUUCGGUCGCUCGUGUCCAAAGCCAGACAGGGUGGAGCCAGCAAUCACACAUCCUGAAACAAACCCUGUCCACAAUGAAGAAGCCAUGAGACUGAAGACAAAAGUGAAAUUCUUACUAAGAAACGGGCACCCAGCAAAUUUUUGUCCAUGAGGAAAAGAUUUGAAUAUCAAGGCCACAGAGCACAGAAUCAGCCACAGGUAUUGCUCUAGUGUACAAAUCCAC